AAGUCGUAACAAGGUCUCCGUUGGUGAACCAGCGGAGGGAUCAUUACCGAGUGUUUUUCCAACCUCAUAACCCUAUGUGAACCAUUAUACCACGUUGCUUCGGCGGCGCGUCCCCCCGGGGGCGUGCCCGCCGGCGAUAACCAGUCUCUCAGUCAUGAACCGACGUUACUUCUGAGUGUUCUAAGCGAACUGUUAAAACUUUCAACAACGGAUCUCUUGGCUCCA
RNAcentral lists this unclassified non-coding RNA (225 nucleotides) under Sodiomyces alcalophilus. RNAcentral's name for it is "Acremonium alcalophilum partial internal transcribed spacer region". The stretch from base 1 to 46 matches the Rfam family "Eukaryotic small subunit ribosomal RNA", at positions 1786 to 1831 of the family's 1831-position model. Lineage: Eukaryota; Fungi; Ascomycota; Sordariomycetes; Glomerellales; Plectosphaerellaceae. The record is from RNAcentral. RNAcentral also lists the same sequence under 2 other names.